Molecule: ribosomal RNA, 333 nt
Filed under: Schmidingerella taraikaensis
Lineage: Eukaryota; Ciliophora; Spirotrichea; Tintinnida; Rhabdonellidae
Description: partial Bacterial small subunit ribosomal RNA
Rfam family: Bacterial small subunit ribosomal RNA
Source: RNAcentral
ACGGAGAGUUUGAUCCUGGCUCAGGAUGAACGCUAGCGGCAGGCUUAACACAUGCAAGUCGAACGAGAAGCUACCUUCGGGUAGUGGAAAGUGGCAGACGGGUGAGUAACGCGUGGGAAUAUACCUAGAGGUACGGAACAACGCCGGGAAACUGGUGCUAAUACCGUAUGUGCCCUUCGGGGGAAAGAUUUAUCGCCUUUAGAUUAGCCCGCGUUAGAUUAGCUUGUUGGUGAGGUAAAAGCUCACCAAGGCGACGAUCUAUAGCUGGUCUGAGAGGAUGAUCAGCCACACUGGAACUGAGACACGGUCCAGACUCCUACGGGAGGCAGCAGU